AGAGUUUGAUCAUGGCUCAGAACGAACGCUGGCGGCGUGGAUAAGACAUGCAAGUCGGACGAGACUUUUCGUUGUAGCAAUACGAUGGAAAGUCUAGUGGCGAACGGGUGCUUAACACGUGGGCAACCUGCCAGGAAGUGGGGGACAGCUCGCCGAAAGGCGGAUUAAUACCGCAUGUGAUUAGAGAGGACAUCCUUCCGAAAUUAAAGUCGGGGCAACCUGACGCUUCUUGUGGGGCCCGCGGCCUAUCAGCUAGUUGGUGAGGUAACGGCUCACCAAGGCUUUGACGGGUAGCUGGUCUGAGAGGACGACCAGCCACACUGGGACUGAGACACGGCCCAGACACCUACGGGUGGCAGCAGUCGAGAAUUUUUGACAAUGGGGGAAACCCUGAUCGAGCGACGCCGCGUGGAGGAUGAAGGUCUUCGGAUUGUAAACUCCUGUCAUUGGGGAACAAUGCGCAAAUAUUAACUGUAUUUGUGUUGAUAGUACCCGAAGAGGAAGAGACGGCUAACUCUGUGCCAGCAGCCGCGGUAAUACAGAGGUCUCAAGCGUUGUUCGGAUUCAUUGGGCGUAAAGGGUGCGUAGGCGGCGCGGUAAGUCGGGUGUGAAAUCUCGGAGCUUAACUCCGAAACUGCAUUCGAUACUGCCGUGCUUGAGGACUGGAGAGGAGACUGGAAUUUACGGUGUAGCGGUGAAAUGCGUAGAUAUCGUAAGGAAGACCAGUGGCGAAGGCGGGUCUCUGGACAGUUCCUGACGCUGAGGCACGAAGGUCAGGGGAGCAAACGGGAUUAGAUACCCUAGUAGUCC
This 810-nucleotide ribosomal RNA is filed under the name uncultured bacterium. RNAcentral's name for it is "bacterial SSU rRNA". It matches the Rfam family "Bacterial small subunit ribosomal RNA", at positions 8 to 796 of the family's 1533-position model. The record is from RNAcentral.